GACAGAGGUGCCAAGCGUUAGGCGGAAUCACUGGGCUUAAAGCGUGUGUAGGCGGAAUGGUAAGUACCUUGUGAAAUCCCACGGCUCAACCGUGGAACUGCUUGGCAUACUGGCGGUCUUGAGCAACCUAGGGGCGAGCGGAACAAAUGGUGGAGCGGUGAAAUGCGUAGAUAUCAUUUGGAACGCCAAUGGUGAAAACAGCUCGCUGGGGGUUUGCUGACGCUGAGACACGAAAGCCAGGGGAGCAAACGGG
Molecule: ribosomal RNA, 253 nt
Filed under: uncultured bacterium
Lineage: Bacteria
Description: partial 16S ribosomal RNA
Rfam family: Bacterial small subunit ribosomal RNA
Source: RNAcentral